RNAcentral lists this ribosomal RNA (301 nucleotides) under uncultured bacterium. RNAcentral's name for it is "partial 16S ribosomal RNA". It matches the Rfam family "Bacterial small subunit ribosomal RNA", at positions 509 to 809 of the family's 1533-position model. The record is from RNAcentral.
CAGUCGCCACGGGAAUACGUAGGGUGCAAGCGUUAAUCGGAAUUACUGGGCGUAAAGCGUGCGCAGGCGGUUAUAUAAGACAGAUGUGAAAUCCCCGGGCUCAACCUGGGAACUGCAUUUGUGACUGUAUAGCUAGAGUACGGCAGAGGGGGAUGGAAUUCCGCGUGUAGCAGUGAAAUGCGUAGAUAUGCGGAGGAACACCGAUGGCGAAGGCAAUCCCCUGGGCCUGUACUGACGCUCAUGCACGAAAGCGUGGGGAGCAAACAGGAUUAGAUACCCCUGUAGUCCCUGUCUCUUAUAA